UGCUGAAUAAAUUUGAACAGAUGAGGAGUCAUUGUUAUCGUCAAUUAAUUUGUAGUGCUCUAAAUAGGGUUUAUCAACGCCAUGCCUAACAAUUAAUUUGUUGGAGUUGGAGGAAUUGUAGGAAAGGUGGGAAUUGAUGAAAGAAGGGGUUGUAAUUAAAGAGUUCCAUGAUUUAGAAACGCACCUGAAUCGAAUUAGGGACUUGACGGGAAGUCUGUGCAGUAUUUUCAGCACCACUUCGUCGGGGAGAUAGUCUGACAU
Molecule: long non-coding RNA, 261 nt
Organism: Quercus robur (English oak)
Lineage: Eukaryota; Viridiplantae; Streptophyta; Magnoliopsida; Fagales; Fagaceae
Exons: 2
Source: RefSeq, a predicted model, not a curated record